This 253-nucleotide ribosomal RNA is filed under the name uncultured bacterium. RNAcentral describes it as "partial 16S ribosomal RNA". It matches the Rfam family "Bacterial small subunit ribosomal RNA", at positions 524 to 776 of the family's 1533-position model. The record is from RNAcentral.
UACGAAGGGGGCUAGCGUUGCUCGGAAUGACUGGGCGUAAAGAGCUCGUAGGCGGUUUGUCGCGUCUGCUGUGAAAACUCGGGGCUUAACCCCGGGCCUGCAGUGGGUACGGGCAGACUAGAGUGCGGUAGGGGAGACUGGAAUUCCUGGUGUAGCGGUGAAAUGCGCAGAUAUCAGGAGGAACACCGAUGGCGAAGGCAGCUCGCUGGGACGGUACUGACGCUGAGACGCGAAAGCGUGGGGAGCAAACGGG